Molecule: ribosomal RNA, 253 nt
Filed under: uncultured bacterium
Lineage: Bacteria
Description: partial 16S ribosomal RNA
Rfam family: Bacterial small subunit ribosomal RNA
Source: RNAcentral
UACGUAGGGGGCUAGCGUUGUCCGGAUUUAUUGGGCGUAAAGAGCGUGUAGGCGGCCUGGUAGGUCUGCUGUGAAAACUCGAGGCUCAACCUCGAGAUGUCGGCGGAAACCAUCUGGCUAGAGUCCGGAAGAGGAGAGUGGAAUUCCUGGUGUAGCGGUGAAAUGCGCAGAUAUCAGGAAGAACACCCGUGGCGAAGGCGGUUCUCUGGGACGGUACUGACGCUGAGACGCGAAAGCGUGGGGAGCGAACAGG